Molecule: ribosomal RNA, 319 nt
Filed under: uncultured eukaryote
Lineage: Eukaryota
Description: partial 18S ribosomal RNA
Rfam family: Eukaryotic small subunit ribosomal RNA
Source: RNAcentral
CCCUUAGAUGUUCUGGGCGGCCCGCGCACUACAAUGGCGUGUGCAGCGAGUGCCGAAGUAGAGUUUUCCGAGGUAUUCUUGCAAUGCUCGUUUUGAUGGGGAUAGACCCUUGCAACUGUUGGUUUUGAACGAGGAAUUCCUAGUAAGCACAAGUCAUCAGCUUGUGUUGAUUACGUCCCUGCCCUUUGUACACACCGCCCGUCGCUCCUACCGAUUGAAUGUUCCGGUGAGCUCUUCGGACUGCGCGGUCUGCAGUUUCUGCGUUCCGUGCGGAAAGUUGCGCAAACCUUAACAUUUAGAGGAAGGAGAAGUCGUAACA